CAGUAGCCACGGUAAUACGUAGGGUACAAGCGUUAAUCGGAAUUACUGGGCGUAAAGCGUGCGCAGGCGGUUCGUUAAGACAGAUGUGAAAUCCCCGGGCUUAACCUGGGAACUGCAUUUGUGACUGGCGGGCUAGAGUAUGGCAGAGGGGGGUAGAAUUCCACGUGUAGCAGUGAAAUGCGUAGAGAUGUGGAGGAAUACCGAUGGCGAAGGCAGCCCCCUGGGCCAAUACCGACGCUCAUGCACGAAAGCGUGGGGAGCAAACAGGAUUAGAUACCCCCGUAGUCCCUGUCUCUUUACA
Molecule: ribosomal RNA, 301 nt
Filed under: uncultured bacterium
Lineage: Bacteria
Description: partial 16S ribosomal RNA
Rfam family: Bacterial small subunit ribosomal RNA
Source: RNAcentral